RNAcentral lists this ribosomal RNA (439 nucleotides) under uncultured bacterium. RNAcentral describes it as "bacterial SSU rRNA". It matches the Rfam family "Bacterial small subunit ribosomal RNA", at positions 338 to 794 of the family's 1533-position model. The record is from RNAcentral.
CCUACGGGAGGCAGCAGUGGGGAAUAUUGCACAAUGGGGGAAACCCUGAUGCAGCAACGCCGCGUGAGUGAUGACGGUCUUCGGAUUGUAAAGCUCUGUCUUUGGGGACGAUAAUGACGGUACCCAAGGAGGAAGCCACGGCUAACUACGUGCCAGCAGCCGCGGUAAUACGUAGGUGGCGAGCGUUGUCCGGAUUUACUGGGCGUAAAGGGAGCGUAGGCGGAUUUUUAAGUGGGAUGUGAAAUACCCGGGCUCAACCUGGGUGCUGCAUUCCAAACUGGGAAUCUAGAGUGCAGGAGGGGAGAGUGGAAUUCCUAGUGUAGCGGUGAAAUGCGUAGAGAUUAGGAAGAACACCAGUGGCGAAGGCGACUCUCUGGACUGUAACUGACGCUGAGGCUCGAAAGCGUGGGGAGCGAACAGGAUUAGAUACCCUGGUAGU